Molecule: ribosomal RNA, 117 nt
Filed under: Prolemur simus (greater bamboo lemur)
Lineage: Eukaryota; Metazoa; Chordata; Mammalia; Primates; Lemuridae
Source: RNAcentral
GUCUAUGGCCAUACCACCCUGAACGUGCCUGAUCUCAUCUGAUCUUGGAAGCUAAGCAGGGUUGGUCCUGGUUAGUACUUGGAUGGGAGAAACAGCACUUGUCAAGCGUGAUAGGGU